AAAUCCGGUUCACUUUAACACUGAGGCGUGACGACGAGGCACUACGGUGCUGAAGCAACAAAUGCCCUGCUUCCAGGAAAAGCCUCUAAGCAUCAGGUAACAUCAAAUCGUACCCCAAACCGACACAGGUGGUCAGGUAGAGAAUACCAAGGCGCUUGAGAGAACUCGGGUGAAGGAACUAGGCAAAAUGGUGCCGUAACUUCGGGAGAAGGCACGCUGACACGUAGGUGAAGUGAUUUACUCAUGGAGCUGAAGUCAGUCGAAGAUACCAGCUGGCUGCAACUGUUUAUUAAAAACACAGCACUGUGCAAACACGAAAGUGGACGUAUACGGUGUGACGCCUGCCCGGUGCCGGAAGGUUAAUUGAUGGGGUCAGCGCAAGCGAAGCUCCUGAUCGAAGCCCCGGUAAACGGCGGCCGUAACUAUAACGGUCCUAAGGUAGCGAAAUUCCUUGUCGGGUAAGUUCCGACCUGCACGAAUGGCGUAAUGAUGGCCAGGCUGUCUCCACCCGAGACUCAGUGAAAUUGAACUCGCUGUGAAGAUGCAGUGUACCCGCGGCAAGACGGAAAGACCCCGUGAACCUUUACUAUAGCUUGACACUGAACAUUGAGCCUUGAUGUGUAGGAUAGGUGGGAGGCUUUGAAGUGUGGACGCCAGUCUGCAUGGAGCCGACCUUGAAAUACCACCCUUUAAUGUUUGAUGUUCUAACGUGGACCCGUUACCCGGGUUGCGGACAGUGUCUGGUGGGUAGUUUGACUGGGGCGGUCUCCUCCUAAAGAGUAACGGAGGAGCACGAAGGUUGGCUAAUCCUGGUCGGACAUCAGGAGGUUAGUGCAAUGGCAUAAGCCAGCUUGACUGCGAGCGUGACGGCGCGAGCAGGUGCGAAAGCAGGUCAUAGUGAUCCGGUGGUUCUGAAUGGAAGGGCCAUCGCUCAACGGAUAAAAGGUACUCCGGGGAUAACAGGCUGAUACCGCCCAAGAGUUCAUAUCGACGGCGGUGUUUGGCACCUCGAUGUCGGCUCAUCACAUCCUGGGGCUGAAGUAGGUCCCAAGGGUAUGGCUGUUCGCCAUUUAAAGUGGUACGCGAGCUGGGUUUAGAACGUCGUGAGACAGUUCGGUCCCUAUCUGCCGUGGGCGCUGGAGAACUGAGGGGGGCUGCUCCUAGUACGAGAGGACCGGAGUGGACGCAUCACUGGUGUUCGGGUUGUCAUGCCAAUGGCACUGCCCGGUAGCUAAAUGCGGAAGAGAUAAGUGCUGAAAGCAUCUAAGCACGAAACUUGCCCCGAGAUGAGUUCUCCCUGAGACUUAAAGUCUCCUGAAGGAACGUUGAAGACGACGACGUUGAUAGGCCGGGUGUGUAAGCGCAGCGAUGCGUUGAGCUAACCGGUACUAAUGAACCGUGAGGCUUAA
RNAcentral lists this ribosomal RNA (1409 nucleotides) under Salmonella enterica. RNAcentral describes it as "partial 23S ribosomal RNA". It matches the Rfam family "Bacterial large subunit ribosomal RNA", at positions 1538 to 2925 of the family's 2925-position model. The record is from RNAcentral. Lineage: Bacteria; Pseudomonadati; Pseudomonadota; Gammaproteobacteria; Enterobacterales; Enterobacteriaceae.